AGUACAGUGUUCUGCCCUGACACAGCCAAGGCCAAGGGCAGUGCAGGCACAGCCACCGUGACUCUCUGCUGGGAGGUUAACAGCUCCAUCAGUUCAGGGACUGCCUGACCCAGCCUGACCAAAUUAGAGCAAGAGAAAGAAUUGUGCCAUGAAAAAUGGAAAACUCCUGAGAAGCUGUUCCAGCGUCAGGAGAGCAGCAGACAAGCUGGACUGGGGAAGAUUCUUCCUGCAAGACCUGCAGAGUGUAUGACACAUAACCAGCACCCAAGAAAUGUCUACCGAGGAAUUAAUGAAUGAGGGUCCCAUACUUCCUAGCCAUGCUGUUGGCAGGGAUUAACAUCAUUGCAAUUCUCUGGGUAGACCUUGGGAGGUUUAAACCAACCAGUGACCCCUAUCAUCCUAGCUCCAGAGAUUGGCUUAGGGAUAGUCACCCAAUGCAGGCCAAUGCAAGGUGACUUUGCCAGGGGCUUCUGGGAAAGAAGUUUCCUUUCUCUGAGGAAAUGUGAAUGAGGACAUCCAUAACUCAGGUUGUGUCUGGCAGCCAUCUUGUGAUCAUCUGGCAAGACAGCCCAAGAAUAAAGCCGUCACCAUGGAGACUAAGAAGAGACAGAAAGACACUGGGUCUUCAUUGUCUCGUCCAGCUGUUCAUGAGGCCUUAUCUGAAGCCCACGUGACCUCCGGACUACUCACUUACAUGAGAGAAUAAAGCUCUUUUUUGUUUAGACCAAAUAAAUACAUAAUACAAUUACAUAAUCCCUUGAUUCCUUUUUAUGACUGAGCUCAGAGACUAUAUUUUGUCAUUUUAAAUCACCUUUGUCUUACAGUUUAUUUAACUGAAACAAAUAAACAAACCAAAACACGCCAGUUUUUCACUCCUCUGUCAAAGCCUUUCCAAGAUCACUAAGCUUGUGAUGUCCUGGGUGAAUGAAGAAGUAACAGUGUUUUCAACAACAUAGAAGCUUAUUUCUCUCUCAUAUAAAAGAAGGCUGGAGUCUGGCUGGUAUGGGAGAUACAGCAUCAUCAAAGUUUUAUCUUUUCGUCCUGCCAUCCUUAGAAUAUGGCUUUCAUCUUCAAGAUCACUUCCUAAGCUAUGAGGAUGCAAAGGUAUAAGAAUGACAUAGCGGACUUUGGGGACUCGGUGUGGGGAGAAGUUGGGAGGGGUGAGGGAUAAGAGACUACAUAUUGGGUACAGUGUACACUGCUCUAAAAUCUCAGAAAUCACCACCAAAGAACCUAUCCGUGGAAUCAAAAACCACCUAUACCCCCAAAACCACUGAAAUAAAACUAAAAAUUAAUUAAAAAAAAAAACAACAUAA
Molecule: long non-coding RNA, 1316 nt
Filed under: Homo sapiens (human)
Lineage: Eukaryota; Metazoa; Chordata; Mammalia; Primates; Hominidae
Description: long intergenic non-protein coding RNA 1588
Source: RNAcentral